GAUGAACGCUGGCGGCGUGCCUAAUACAUGCAAGUCGAGCGAACAGACGAGGAUCUUUCUCCUCUGACGUUAGCGGCGGACGGGUGAGUAACACGUGGAUAACCUACCUAUCAUACUGGGAUAACUUCGUGAAACCGGAGCUCAUACCCGAUAAUAUAUUGAUCCGCAUGGUUCAAUAGUGUAAGACGGUUUUGCUGUCACUUAUAGAUGUAUCCGCGCCGCAUUAGCUAGUUGGUAAGGUAACGGCUUACCAAGGCGACGAUGCGUAGCCGACCUGAGAGGGUGAUCGGCCACACUGGAACUGAGACACGGUCCAGACUCCUACGGGAGGCAGCAGUAGGGAAUCUUCCGCAAUGGGCGAAAGCUUGACGGAGCAACGCCGCGUGAGUGAUGAAGGUCUUCGGAUCGUAAAACUCUGUUAUUAGGGAAGAACAAAUGUGUAAGUAACUAUGCACGUCUUGACGGUACCUAAUCAGAAAGCCACGGCUAACUACGUG
Molecule: ribosomal RNA, 497 nt
Filed under: uncultured bacterium
Lineage: Bacteria
Description: partial 16S ribosomal RNA
Rfam family: Bacterial small subunit ribosomal RNA
Source: RNAcentral